ACUUCAUCUUGAAGGAGAAACUACACAAGUUAGGGAUGUUGGGCUGUGUGAUGUGCAUUGUCGGUUUUGUCAUAAUUGUCAUCCACGCACCGCAAGAAAGUCUCAUUACUUCUGUUCAAGAAAUAUGGAUUAUGGCGACUCAACCAGCUUUUCUGCUUUACAUCGACUUGGUAAUCAUGUUGGUGUUCAUCCUGGUUUCCAUUUUUCACCUAGAUGUGGGCACACGGAUGUGCUAGUUUACACUGGCAUCUGCUCAUUAAUGGGCUCUCUCUCGGUGAUGAGUGUGAAAGCCCGUGGGACUUCUUUGAAGUUGACUUUUGAGGGAAGA
Long non-coding RNA from Eucalyptus grandis, 328 nucleotides. RefSeq lists it as uncharacterized. The transcript is spliced from 3 exons. Lineage: Eukaryota; Viridiplantae; Streptophyta; Magnoliopsida; Myrtales; Myrtaceae. The record is from RefSeq and is a predicted model, not a curated record.